Molecule: long non-coding RNA, 1643 nt
Organism: Sorghum bicolor (sorghum)
Lineage: Eukaryota; Viridiplantae; Streptophyta; Magnoliopsida; Poales; Poaceae
Exons: 10
Source: RefSeq, a predicted model, not a curated record
UGUUUUGUGAUUAUGCCAUACUUUAAGCCUAUUUCCUGACACGUUAUAAAGGCUGAAAGUAUGGCAUAAACAUUUUUUUUGAAUUACUUACCUGCAACGUUGCUUUUCUGGACCCAACUAUUUCCUCCUUCAGUUCUGCAUCAAUUCUGGAAAGAUGCUGCCAAGCAAGAGGGGUGCUGAUGAUCUCACAAGAUUCUCAACAAAGUCAUCUAUUUCAGGUUUCUGGAGCGAGCUGAGUGACAAAGCUGCAUCAAAGUUGUCCACAAGUGUUGUCUCAAUUGCUUUGACCCAUGGUGAUCUUGUAGGACAAAAUGUGAUAUAUGCAUCCUCUGGCAUAGCUAUUGAAUGCCAGCCUAACUUCACAAAGUUUGCAACAUCAGCAAUUUUGGUUAGAGCUUUAAAUGCUGAAAGAAAUGGCCAUGACAACAUUAAGAUUGAAGUAUGCCAUAAAGGAAAUGUUGCCAUAGGGACUGUGGUAGAAUAUGACCUGGAUCAUGUAAUUGCUGUUGUCGAAGUCACGUCCGCCCUUGACGUUUAUUGUGUACCUCUUAGUCAUGCGGAGGAAUUGAUGCCUGAUAUAAAGGUUGUAGCAGUAGGGCGUGACAUCUCUGGCAAAUUAAUGGCCACAAGUGGGACACUUACUGAUUCAGGCCGAUCUGAAGAUCGUGGACAUCUUAUGUUCUCUACAUGUAAAUUAUCUGAGGCUAUGCAGGGCGGCGCACUUUUUGAAUUUGAUGGGAACUUUGUUGGCAUGAACCUUUUCUCUAAUAUGGGAAGACCCCUAUUCUUGCCAAGGGAUAUAAUUUUUGAUCGUUUGAACCAUUUUCAGACAUCCAUGGAAAAGAUAAUAUUUCCUGUGUUGCUGAAGUCAGUCAGGCAUAGAAAAAGACUCAGGUGUGGAACUUCACUCAUAUCCUGAAGGUAGCACGAGUGUUAAUACUUUUGGAGAACAGUUUGGUGACGAAUAUCCUACUGGUGUCUGGGGUAAAUUCAAGAAAGAAGUUUCUUCUAACAUAUCUGACAUUGUUGUCGCACUUGCUUCGUUCCAUGGUGAAUCAAAGUUCUUUGCAUGCACAGAAUUUUUCAUUAACUAUGAUGGAUGUCCGACUAUUCUGAUCCCGAUGACGCAAAUGAGAUUGUGAACGGCUUAAGGGCUGUUAUUGGAGGUCCCGCUGUUGAUUUGGAUGGAAAAUUUGUGGGCAUCAAUUACUAUAAUACAAAAAUAGGAACCCCGCUCCUGUUAUUUAUUGAUAUCUGUGAAAUUUUGGAUGAUUUGAAGACAAAAAUGGCGAUGAUUGGUGGUCAUGAGGGCCGUUUGGAAAAUGACAACGGACCACCAAACAUCUGGCUAUGGCGGUAUGGCCUGCCUGAUCCAAGGUGAUAUGGAUGAAGAUGAAGAUGAAGAUUAACGUGCAGCCCAACAGAUGCGCAACAGAGAGGAUGAGGUCCGAACUCUGGUUCGUGCAGGUCUGCAAAUUAUUAGAAAUAGCUGAUAGGCAGAGGAGGCAUUUUUCAAAUUACCCCACCACCGGCUGAAUAGUUUUGAAGUGAUAAAAAUUUCUGGUUCUCAAGUAUAUAGCGAGGAAGGAUUUGUCUUGAGCCAGAAACUAUUACUAAAUAAGAUGGAAGAAUUUCAGAACAUA